Molecule: ribosomal RNA, 253 nt
Filed under: uncultured bacterium
Lineage: Bacteria
Description: partial 16S ribosomal RNA
Rfam family: Bacterial small subunit ribosomal RNA
Source: RNAcentral
UACGGAGGGUGCGAGCGUUGUCCGGAAUCAUUGGGCGUAAAGAGCUCGUAGGCGGUCUGUCGCGUCUGCUGUGAAAACUCGGGGCUUAACCCCGGGCCUGCAGUGGGUACGGGCAGACUAGAGUGCGGUAGGGGAGACUGGAAUUCCUGGUGUAGCGGUGAAAUGCGCAGAUAUCAGGAGGAACACCGGUGGCGAAGGCGGGUCUCUGGGCCGUAACUGACGCUGAGGAGCGAAAGCGUGGGGAGCGAACAGG